CACGUAGGGUGCGAGCGUUGUCCGGAAUUAUUGGGCGUAAAGAGCUCGUAGGCGGUGUGUCGCGUCGGCCGUGAAAACCUGCAGCUUAACUGUGGGCGUGCGGUCGAUACGGGCAUCACUGGAGUUCGGCAGGGGAGACUGGAAUUCCUGGUGUAGCGGUGAAAUGCGCAGAUAUCAGGAGGAACACCUGCGGCGAAGGCGGGUUGCUGGGCUGAUACUGACGCUGAGGCGCGAAAGCCAGGGGAGCGAACGGG
Molecule: ribosomal RNA, 254 nt
Filed under: uncultured bacterium
Lineage: Bacteria
Description: partial 16S ribosomal RNA
Rfam family: Bacterial small subunit ribosomal RNA
Source: RNAcentral